Zonotrichia leucophrys gambelii is the source of this 477-nucleotide long non-coding RNA. RefSeq lists it as uncharacterized. The transcript has 3 exons. NCBI's taxonomy places the organism in Eukaryota, Metazoa, Chordata, Aves, Passeriformes, Passerellidae. The record is from RefSeq and is a predicted model, not a curated record.
AAAUGCAAAAGGAAUCAUUCCUGCCUUUCCACACCAGCACUCAGGAGGAGGAAAGCAGAACUAGUGAGAGGACUUGUGAUUUGGUAUGUUCUUCUUCUCUGGAAAGAAGGAAUGAAUUUCCAGUCCUAGAGAGCUAAACUCUACCACAUCACCUGGCUACAGUGUGAAAUCCCUUCAGGACAGUUUUGGAGAUGGUGAUGGCACACAUACUGCCUUCUGAUGAUUUUCCCAGUGGUCGUUCAAGCGCAUGGCAUUCAGCUCAUUCCGAUUCUCCUCUCGCCUCUGCAGCAGCUUCUUAAAGGCUUCCAUUUGAACCUUCUGCAACCUGCAAGGAAAGAAAAGGGUUCGGAACAAGAGGCUGAGGACCUGGCUGUCCCCUGCAUCCCCUGCAUCCGCUGCAUCCUCUGCAGCUGACAGGGUACGCGACUCUCUCCUAGAAAGAGGUGCAAGAUGGAAGAUUGGUCACAGUCAUUAAAG